UGGUAGCUCAGUUGGAUAGAGCAACAGCCUUCUAAGCUGUGGGUCCCGGGUUCGAAUCCCGGC
This 63-nucleotide transfer RNA is filed under the name human gut metagenome. It matches the Rfam family "tRNA", at positions 7 to 64 of the family's 71-position model. From Rfam's summary of the family: Transfer RNA (tRNA) molecules are approximately 80 nucleotides in length. Their secondary structure includes four short double-helical elements and three loops (D, anti-codon, and T loops). RNAcentral also lists the same sequence under 1 other name. The record is from RNAcentral.